Molecule: unclassified non-coding RNA, 391 nt
Filed under: soil metagenome
Description: partial contains 5.8S ribosomal RNA, internal transcribed spacer 2, and large subunit ribosomal RNA
Rfam family: 5.8S ribosomal RNA (bases 1-122)
Source: RNAcentral
GAUGAAGAACGCAGCGAAAUGCGAUACUUGGUGUGAAUUGCAGAAUCCCGUGAACCAUCGAGUCUUUGAACGCAAGUUGCGCCCGAAGCCACUAGGCCGAGGGCACGCCUGCCUGGGCGUCACACGCCGUUGCCCCCCCAUCUACUCCUUCGGGAUUGCGGGGGGGCGGAUGAUGGCCUCCCGUGCGCCUAGCCGCGCGGUUGGCAUAAAUACCAAGUCCUCGGCGACGCACGCCACGACAAUCGGUGGUUGCGAAACCUCGGUUGCCCGUCGUGUGCGUUCGUCGCGCAUCGAGGGCCCGAAAAAAUGCUCGGCUCCGGCUGGGCUUUCAACGCGACCCCAGGUCAGGCGGGGUUACCCGCUGAAUUUAAGCAUAUCAAUAAGCGGAGGA